This is a long non-coding RNA of Anopheles merus, 1462 nucleotides long. RefSeq lists it as uncharacterized. The record is from RefSeq and is a predicted model, not a curated record. The transcript is spliced from 2 exons. Lineage: Eukaryota; Metazoa; Arthropoda; Insecta; Diptera; Culicidae.
GAUCGCAUUCUAAUCGACGCAUGUGGCCGGGCCCGUAUUGGAACGCUACUGAAUCCACCAACAAUCAAACCCCGGACAGGAUCUGGUUUUGGAGUUGGAAAAAAUGCUCCCCCAUCACGGAAACGUAGCAGACUGUUUUCUGGGUGUUUUUUUUUUAAUCGUAAUAGGACACACCCGCUCAAUGGGACUUUUUUGUUUUGUUUCGCUCUGUAUGUGUUCUCCACCUUCCUUGAACUGGACGCGCAGAAGCAGCAUUCGCCAUUCGGUUACGCAUCGCUGGGCCUGCUUAAGUGUAUUGCUAUUUUUGGUCUUCGUUAUUUUUUUCGCAAACCUACUUUGAAUUAUGACGUUCGAGCGAUGAAACGGUUUGAUGCCGAUUGGGGUGCAAUAAACACCAUCAUAGUAGCAUCCUGUGACACCUCUAUGACACCCAGGUCAGUGUCUAGAUAUGGGUGGGAAAGGGAAGGCCUAAACCAAAAGCCAGUAAAUUCAAUUUCCUUACCACACAACACACGACGGGAGAAACAACAGCCACGUGUUCUAGAGGUGCAAACUGCGUUUUCUAGAAAUGCAAUGAAUUGAUACGUUGCGGAAACUAGAAUUGUUCGAUAGGCUAACAUUGACCGGGGAGGAGCUUAGUAAGAGCCUACAAGUGGCAAUGGUACUCCGAAGUCUCCCGGUAUCCGGAAGGUCUGACGAUGAGCAUAUGCUGGAAUUGGCGAAAACCAAGAAGCGAAAUCAAUCCGGAAAUAUUCAUGAGAAUGGCUCGUUUAAAAGUAAAUUUGGAUUAUUUAUGGCUAUUAAUACGGACCCAAACGCCUAUUCAUAUAGAGAUGGCGAAACUGAUGCCGAAUCCGGAGCAGAUUUUGAUUCUGGAGGCGCUUUCGAUUUCGGACCCGAAUGCGAUUCCGAAACCGAUAUUGAUUCCGGAGCCGAUUUUGGAGCCGAUUCCGGAGCCGAUUCCGAUUCCGAAGCCGGAAACUAACUUCCGGACCUACUAUCCUGAAUCAAUUUAAGAAAACUUGGGAUCUAGCCGGGAAAAAAUCCGUAGGAUAAAACAUCAAGAGUGAUCAUGAACAAUUUAAGAUUGCAAUAUGCAAGAGUCGAUUAGAAGCACAUUAGAAAACUUAUUGCAUUAACCAGUAAUAUAUCCUGCAUGAACUGUGCUCAUUAUAUGAAGGAAACCAAACUUUCCAGGUGCCUUCCGAGUUAGGGAAAUGCACACAUGUAAUUUUGUUAAAAUUACCCUCCACAUAUCAUUUAGAGUUUUCGGAAAAGCAAUAAAGCUAGAAUUUAAAAAAAAUAGAACCGUUUUCCUGUUUUCACGAAAAGAAUGAAACGUGACAACUUACACUGUUUAUUUCACUCUUCCGAUUUUGGACAACCUCAACCCACGUGUUGUGUGCGGGAGAAGGCAAGGUAUAGCACACGAUACCGUACAAUCCUGCGAUGGUAUGCUAUC